GAUGAACGCUGGCGGCGUGCCUAAUACAUGCAAGUCGAGUGAACAGACGAGGAGCUUGCUCCUCUGACGUUAGCGGCGGACGGGUGAGUAACACGUGGAUAACCUACCUAUAAGACUGGGAUAACUUCGGGAAACCGGAGCUAAUACCGGAUAAUAUAUUGAACCGCAUGGUUCAAUAGUGAAAGACGGUUUUGCUGUCACUUAUAGAUGGAUCCGCGCCGCAUUAGCUAGUUGGUAAGGUAACGGCUUACCAAGGCAACGAUGCGUAGCCGACCUGAGAGGGUGAUCGGCCACACUGGAACUGAGACACGGUCCAGACUCCUACGGGAGGCAGCAGUAGGGAAUCUUCCGCAAUGGGCGAAAGCUUGACGGAGCAACGCCGCGUGAGUGAUGAAGGUCUUCGGAUCGUAAAGCUCUGUUAUUAGGGAAGAACAAAUGUGUAAGUAACUAUGCACGUCUUGACGGUACCUAAUCAGAAAGCCACGGCUAACUACGUG
Molecule: ribosomal RNA, 497 nt
Filed under: uncultured bacterium
Lineage: Bacteria
Description: partial 16S ribosomal RNA
Rfam family: Bacterial small subunit ribosomal RNA
Source: RNAcentral